CAGCAGCCGCCGCGGGAAUACGGAGGGAGCUAGCGUUGUUCGGAAUUACUGGGCGUAAAGCGCGCGUAGGCGGUUACUCAAGUCAGAGGUGAAAGCCCGGGGCUCAACCCCGGAACUGCCUUUGAAACUAGGUGACUAGAGUCUUGGAGAGGUCAGUGGAAUUCCGAGUGUAGAGGUGAAAUUCGUAGAGAUCUGGAGGAAUACCGGUGGCGAAGGCGGCCCCCUGGACAAAGACUGACGCUCAGGUGCGAAAGCGUGGGGAGCAAACAGGAUUAGAUACCCGCGUAGUCCCUGUCUCUUAUAC
Molecule: ribosomal RNA, 304 nt
Filed under: uncultured bacterium
Lineage: Bacteria
Description: partial 16S ribosomal RNA
Rfam family: Bacterial small subunit ribosomal RNA
Source: RNAcentral